UGGGGCGUAGCCAAGUGGUAAGGCAACGGGUUUUGAUCCCGCUAUUCGGAGGUUCGAAUCCUUCCGUCCCAG
RNAcentral lists this transfer RNA (72 nucleotides) under Arctium lappa (great burdock). RNAcentral's name for it is "tRNA-Gln". It matches the Rfam family "tRNA". From Rfam's summary of the family: Transfer RNA (tRNA) molecules are approximately 80 nucleotides in length. Their secondary structure includes four short double-helical elements and three loops (D, anti-codon, and T loops). RNAcentral also lists the same sequence under 85 other names. Lineage: Eukaryota; Viridiplantae; Streptophyta; Magnoliopsida; Asterales; Asteraceae. The record is from RNAcentral.